ACCGUCAAUAAAAAUUAGUACAGAAGGGAUGUUUUUUCUUCUUUUAUUUGAAUUUGUCUUCAAAGAAAUAAGAAUGACUUACAUGGAGCGUGCCUGGAUGUCUGUGCUAAUUUCCUGACAAAGUUUGUAUGUAAAUUCUUUUAUUUGCACUUAACUGGACUAGCAGAAGGUAUAGAACCACUCAGAAUUCGGACCCGGUGACAAAAGAAUGUAUAAGAUAGUAGUACAUAUUCAAAAUACAAUAGUUCCUACAGAUAGGUG
RNAcentral lists this long non-coding RNA (261 nucleotides) under Mytilus galloprovincialis (Mediterranean mussel). The record is from RNAcentral. Lineage: Eukaryota; Metazoa; Mollusca; Bivalvia; Mytilida; Mytilidae.